This 76-nucleotide transfer RNA is filed under the name Kiritimatiellota bacterium B12222. RNAcentral's name for it is "tRNA-Glu". It matches the Rfam family "tRNA". From Rfam's summary of the family: Transfer RNA (tRNA) molecules are approximately 80 nucleotides in length. Their secondary structure includes four short double-helical elements and three loops (D, anti-codon, and T loops). Further hydrogen bonds mediate the characteristic L-shaped molecular structure. tRNAs have two regions of fundamental functional importance: the anti-codon, which is responsible for specific mRNA codon recognition, and the 3' end, to which the tRNAs corresponding amino acid is attached (by aminoacyl-tRNA synthetases). tRNAs cope with the degeneracy of the genetic code in two manners: having more than one tRNA (with a specific anti-codon) for a particular amino acid; and 'wobble' base-pairing, i.e. permitting non-standard base-pairing at the 3rd anti-codon position. Lineage: Bacteria; Pseudomonadati; Kiritimatiellota. The record is from RNAcentral. RNAcentral also lists the same sequence under 1 other name.
GCCCCCAUCGUCUAGAGGCCUAGGACACCGGGUUUUCAUCUCGGCAACAGGGGUUCGAAUCCCCUUGGGGGUGCCA